GAUCCUGGCUCAGGAUGAACGCUAGCGACAGGCCUAACACAUGCAAGUCGAGGGGCAACAUGGUGUCAGCUUGCUGAUACCGAUGGCGACCGGCGCACGGGUGAGUAACGCGUAUGUAAUCUACCUGUAACAGAGGGAUAACCCGGAGAAAUCCGGACUAAUACCUCAUAGCACAUAUUAUUCGCAUGAAUUUUAUGUUAAAGAAUUUCGGUUAUCGAUGGGGAUGCGUUCCAUUUAG
Molecule: ribosomal RNA, 238 nt
Filed under: uncultured bacterium
Lineage: Bacteria
Description: partial 16S ribosomal RNA
Rfam family: Bacterial small subunit ribosomal RNA
Source: RNAcentral